CAGCACAUUUAUGUCUAGAAAAUGGUUGCUUUAAAGUGUUUGCAUGGACUAGGGAUGUAUGAAAUUGUAGGACAAAAUGAAAAUCUGAUUAUUCAUGUCAGCCCUAAGAAUGGUGUUAGUACUUGAUACAACUUACAUUAUUUUAGCUUUAAAAAAGAAUGUUCAUCUGAACUGCAAUAAAGCUAGAAUUAUAUUACCUUGAAAGGAUGUCUCUGGGAGUUGUAAGUCAAAACAAGGCUGUAUUACAAAAAAUUAAAUAAUAAUAAUAAUGUGGAGAUAAAUCGACGUAUGUAUCGAGAGUUAUGUCUGUGCUACUUCGGGGCAGAGAGUUUCCUGUUUGGGUUGAGAUUUGCAGAGCUGGUGAUUUUCCAGGACUACAUGAGGCUCCCAGGCAGGUCACCGAGGCUCAGUGCCCCUAGAGCACCGUCUCACAGCUCUUGAGGCAAUGCCUGGUUGACUGUGUGCUGUCACUCGACCUUUUCUAUGAAAGAUGAGACGCUCUUCCCACUAAUGGAUGCAAAUGUAAGAACUGGCUGCCUGAAACAGCAGUGAGGCUGCAACUCUCCUGUUACUCUGGGGGAAAGCUUAACAACUAAGAUUCAGAGCAAAGGAAGACGAUGCCGGCAGCAGGCUUUGGGUGCUUGUGGGGCAGCAGGUUGUACCAGGGGCAGGUGCAGACCCCUGCCUCCCUUGCCUUCACCACAGUCACAACAGGCCAGGCCAGCCCAUCCAUCAUGUCUCUAGGAUAUCUCAGGGGUUCAAGGCCACCACACCAUUUGCAGCACACUCCACUCGCUGAUCUGUGAUAUGGGAGAUGUGCUUAUUGGCGAAUAAAUCACCAUGUCAAGUUAACGGCCUGUGUCCAAGGCGAGUGACUUCGAGGUCAGCAUAGCAGCAUACCAUUGGAUGCAGCGGGUUCUGCUUCUGCGCACAGUGCCUCAUCAGAACAUAAAUUUUCAAAUACCAGAUGUGAUAAAAGACAACAUCGAGCUUUCUGUUUUUUGAAGGAGAGGAGAAGGAGAUCCUGGAUACAUUCUCUGAAAGGUGCCUCCACUUCAUCACUGAUCCCGACACGUGGGAGGAAGGAGAGGAGGACAGUGAAGACCAUCAGCAAGGGAGAGCAGGUUCCCUGCCCUGGAUCCCUGCCCUGGUCCCCUGCCCUGAUUCCCUGCCCCAUGUUGUAGGUCUUUGGGCUACAUUUCUACCCAUUGGCUGAACAUAAAAACUGUCCUAUGAACUAUUUGGCAGCAAGUUCACAGCAAAGAAUAUUAACUCUGUGAGGCACCUUAGACAAUGCCUGGCUUAACCCCCACUUGACAAAUAAAGACACAUGUUCUGACUCACCCACCAUCCCAGGAGCAACUGACCAGGCUGAGGAACUCUGUCCACUGCCUGCAGCCCACUUGGCCUUCCACUGUGACGUCCAGGCUGAGGAACUGUGUCUGCCACCUGCAGCCCACUUGGCCUUCCACUGUGAUGUCCUUUCCAGGACUCUGAGCAGAGAUGGGUUUAUAACAAGCAUAAAUUGUUAUUUUGUAUCGAUCUGCACAUCAAUUUAUAUAUUUUGAAAAUUAAAAGAAAUCCAAUGAUAAGAAUUUUUCUCACAAGUUAAUUAAGGAAACUAGGUCAAUGGAAAUUUCUUAGGUUAUGAAAAUAUUGAUGUGAAUAUGUUAUGUGAGAAUCAUUUCAAAAUGAGUUAAAGGGGCUGGGCACAGUGGUUCACACCUGUAAUCCC
Molecule: long non-coding RNA, 1735 nt
Filed under: Homo sapiens (human)
Lineage: Eukaryota; Metazoa; Chordata; Mammalia; Primates; Hominidae
Description: HSALNT0082840
Source: RNAcentral